This 496-nucleotide ribosomal RNA is filed under the name uncultured bacterium. Its description in RNAcentral is "partial 16S ribosomal RNA". It matches the Rfam family "Bacterial small subunit ribosomal RNA", at positions 28 to 506 of the family's 1533-position model. The record is from RNAcentral.
GUUGAACGCUGGCGGCGUGCCUAAUACAUGCAAGUCGAGCGAACAGACGAGGAGCUUGCUCCUCUGACGUUAGCGGCGGACGGGUGAGUAACACGUGGAUAACCUACCUAUAAGACUGGGAUAACUUCGGGAAACCGGAGCUAAUACCGGAUAAUAUAUUGAACCGCAUGGUUCAAUAGUGAAAGACGGUUUUGCUGUCACUUAUAGAUGGAUCCGCGCCGCAUUAGCUAGUUGGUAAGGUAACGGCUUACCAAGGCGACGAUGCGUAGCCGACCUGAGAGGGUGAUCGGCCACACUGGAACUGAGACACGGUCCAGACUCCUACGGGAGGCAGCAGUAGGGAAUCUUCCGCAAUGGGCGAAAGCCUGACGGAGCAACGCCGCGUGAGUGAUGAAGGUCUUCGGAUCGUAAAACUCUGUUAUUAGGGAAGAACAAAUGUGUAAGUAACUAUGCACGUCUUGACGGUACCUAAUCAGAAAGCCACGGCUAACUACGU